UACGUAGGGGGCAAGCGUUGUCCGGAUUUAUUGGGCGUAAAGAGCGUGUAGGCGGCCAGAUAGGUCAGCUGUGAAAACUCGAGGCUCAACCUCGAGAUGUCGGCUGAAACCAUCUGGCUAGAGUCCGGAAGAGGAGAAUGGAAUUCCCGGUGUAGCGGUGAAAUGCGCAGAUAUCGGGAAGAGCACCCGUGGCGAAGGCGGUUCUCUGGGACGGUACUGACGCUGAGACGCGAAAGCGUGGGGAGCGAACAGG
This 253-nucleotide ribosomal RNA is filed under the name uncultured bacterium. Its description in RNAcentral is "partial 16S ribosomal RNA". It matches the Rfam family "Bacterial small subunit ribosomal RNA", at positions 524 to 776 of the family's 1533-position model. The record is from RNAcentral.